GAUGAACGCUGGCUACAGGCUUAACACAUGCAAGUCGAGGGGAAACGGCAUUGAGUGCUUGCACUGAAUGGACGCCGACCGGCGCACGGGUGAGUAACGCGUAUCCAACCUUCCCGUUACUGCGGGAUAACCUGCCGAAAGGCAGACUAAUACCGCAUGUUCUUCGAUGACGGCAUCAGAUUCGAAGCAAAGAUCCGUCGGUAACGGAGGGGGAUGCGUCUGAUUAGCUAGUUGGCGGGGCGACGGCCCACCAAGGCGACGAUCAGUAGGGGUUCUGAGAGGAAGGUCCCACACAUUGGAACUGAGACACGGUCCAAACUCCUACGGGAGGCAGCAGUGAGGAAUAUUGGUCAAUGGGCGGAAGCCUGAACCAGCCAAGUAGCGUGCAGGAUGACGGCCCUACGGGUUGUAAACUGCUUUUAUGCGGGGAUAAAGUGAGGGACGCGUCCCUUUUUGCAGGUACCGCAUGAAUAAGGACCGGCUAAUUCCGUG
This 492-nucleotide ribosomal RNA is filed under the name uncultured bacterium. RNAcentral's name for it is "partial 16S ribosomal RNA". It matches the Rfam family "Bacterial small subunit ribosomal RNA", at positions 28 to 507 of the family's 1533-position model. The record is from RNAcentral.